UGGGGAAUUUUGGACAAUGGGCGAAAGCCUGAUCCAGCAAUGCCGCGUGUGUGAAGAAGGCCUUCGGGUUGUAAAGCACUUUUGUCCGGAAAGAAAUCCUUGGCUCUAAUACAGUCGGGGGAUGACGGUACCGGAAGAAUAAGCACCGGCUAACUACGUGCCAGCAGCCGCGGUAAUACGUAGGGUGCAAGCGUUAAUCGGAAUUACUGGGCGUAAAGCGUGCGCAGGCGGUUUGCUAAGACCGAUNUGAAUCCCCGGGCUCAACCUGGGAACUGCAUUGGUGACUGGCAGGCUAGAGUAUGGCAGAGGGGGGUAGAAUUCCACGUGUAGCAGUGAAAUGCGUAGAGAUGUGGAGGAAUACCGAUGGCGAAGGCAGCCCCCUGGGCCAAUACUGACGCUCAUGCACGAAAGCGUGGGGAGCAAACAGGAUUAGAUACCCCUGGUAGUCCACGCCCUAAACGAUGUCAACUAGUUGUUGGGGAUUCAUUUCCUUAGUAACUAGCUAACGCGUGAAGUUGACCGCCUGGGGAGUA
This 533-nucleotide ribosomal RNA is filed under the name uncultured bacterium. RNAcentral's name for it is "partial 16S ribosomal RNA". It matches the Rfam family "Bacterial small subunit ribosomal RNA", at positions 355 to 882 of the family's 1533-position model. The record is from RNAcentral.